GUGGUUGGUGCUGGCCUGGUGAUAGUCUGCCAUGGAGAGAGAUGGGAGUAAUGUUACAUCAUCUCUCUAGGUGGUUGGUGCUGGCCUGGUGAUAGUCUGCCAUGGAGAGAGAUGGGAGUAAUGUUACAUCAUCUCUCUAGGUGUCUGGUGCUGGCCUGGUGAUAGUCUGCCAUGGGGAGAGAUGGGAGUAAUGUUACAUCAUCUCUCUAGGUGGUUGGUGAUGGCCUGGUGAUAGUCUGCCA
Molecule: long non-coding RNA, 242 nt
Organism: Oncorhynchus gorbuscha (pink salmon)
Lineage: Eukaryota; Metazoa; Chordata; Actinopteri; Salmoniformes; Salmonidae
Exons: 3
Source: RefSeq, a predicted model, not a curated record